RNAcentral lists this long non-coding RNA (216 nucleotides) under Setaria italica (foxtail millet). RNAcentral describes it as "long non-coding RNA (SITA_LNC004972)". The record is from RNAcentral. Lineage: Eukaryota; Viridiplantae; Streptophyta; Magnoliopsida; Poales; Poaceae.
ACUAGGCUGCGGCUUAUAGCGGAACAACUUCCUAAACAACUCGAGGCUUGGAGGAACUCCCAAAUAAACUUCGCAGAGGUGUAUGAAAAUGGACAUAUGCAGUACACCAUUGGGGUUCAAAUGAACAAGUUGAAGCUUAUAGUACUCGAGGAUACCUCUGAAGAAAUCGGAGGUGGGCACUGCCAAACCCCUCUCCACAAAGUGUGCGAGCAUCAC